GAAGUAAAAUGGCAGGGCUGCCUGGAACCUGCGGGGCCGCUGUCUCCCCGUGCCUUGGGACUGUUUGGUGAAUCGGCACAGUUUCCGGCAGCAGGCGCGUGGUAUGUGUUGCUGCAUCUUGGCAUUCAGGCUGGGAGGUCUCUCUAUGUGGACCCGGACACCUCCCGGUGACAGUGCUCUGGGGUUGUUGCCAAUGCGCUGGGCAGUGGGUAUGAGGAUGGCAAUGGAUUUCCAUGUGGCUUUUCUCUCAUGUCCCCCCCACCAAAUCCCCUCCUCGCCAGCUCAGCACCUCUGACGGGACCCUGGACCUGGGUGCUCAAGCUGAUCUGUGCCCCUGGGAGGUUCUGCCCCUUACAGGGACCUCUGCAGACAUGACCAACUCUUUGAUUCUACUGAUAUUUGGGUAGAUAAGAUUUUGCCUAAAAUAGUUAAAUCUGAACUCGUGCUUGCAAAUGCUUUGCCUGGAUGAAACGUUUGUUUUGUGAUGUAUGUAUGCAUGGUGUAACGCAUCCUAAUGAAUAGACGCCGCUCAUCCCAGGGGAUUUCAUCCGUGAAACGAAACGUGUACCUGAACUGCAUCCUCAGAGAGCCCUGGGCAGCCUCAGUCCUCAGAAAGGAAGGGGUGAGGUCCGAUGAGCAGGCAGGAAAACCCCAGGUGCAGCCCAGCCAGCUCGGAGGGCCCGCCCACAGACACAGCCCAGCCAGCUCAGAGGGCCCACCUCCAGGAGGGGCCGAGUAAAUUGUCCAGUGUGACCAAGUUGAAGUGAGAGCCUUCCAGCCCCCUCACGACGACCCUCAGAAUCCCACAGGCUCAACAUAUGGUCCACCACCAGGAACCCUGUGCAUGGGAACCUUCAUUUCCAGGUGGCUCCCAGCCCCAAGGACAAGGUCUGAAGCUCACCUUCUAGGCUCUCAGCCCCACAUUCCUGUGUCCACAGGCUCUGGCCAUUCCACCUCUUGGAUCUCUAGGGGUUCACUUGCGUGUCUAUUGUGGGGGCUCUGGAGAUGACCUGUAAGGGCUGGGGUCUUUGUUUGUUCACAGGCUGGGGGCCACUCCUAAUGGGGCACCCUCAUCACACCAAGCAUGCCACGAAACAUGGCUGGUGGAUGAUUCUUUCCGUUACUUAGGCCUGGCCCUCUCACAGGGCAGAGGGCUCCAGGCACUAUCCUGCCCCCAUGCAGCCCCCCAGGCAAGGAAUCAAGGCAGGACACUGUGCCAGUCAGCUGUCCACCCUGUGCUGCAUAACAAACAGCUCCAAAACUCAGCGCCAUGCAGCAAUCAGCGUCUCUUCCUUGCUUCUCUGUCUGCGGGUUGACCAGGAUCUCAUGUAAGCUGGUUCGGCUGGGUUUGUCUCUAGGCUGCAAGUUGGAUCCCCACGCCCUCCAUCUUCCCGUCCUUCUUAACCAGGACCUGUCCCAGGCAUGCUCCUCCCACAGCAGAAGUGCCAGAGAAAAGGCAGAAACAUGCAGGGUCUAAGGCCUGUGGUUGGGGUCGGAGUGCUGUCACCUCUGCUCAUAUGCUUUUGACCAAAGUAAGUCUCAUGAACCAGCCCAAAAUUAAGGGGCUGGAAACAUUGCCCCCACCAGUGGGAGGAGCGAUAAAGCCGCACAGCAAAGGGCAUGGAUACAGAGAGGGGUGAAGGAUUGGGAGCAAUACUCCCAUGCAACCAGGUCUCAAAUCACUCUGAUGAUCUCCAGAAGGCAAAGCAUGUUAUGGGAGAAGCCCAAAGAGCCUCUGGGGUCUGAGGAAGGAGUGGCCACAGCCAGCCGAGAGCCAGGAAGGCUUCGUGGAGAAGGCAGCACAGGCUUGAUCUGAACCUUGAAGGCUGGGCAGGAUUCAACACAGAGACUGGGAAGCACAUUCCUGUAGAUACAACAGCCCGAGCCCCAUCCCAGAGGUGUCCACAGAGAACAGGAAGUGAAGUUACCCAGCCCUGGCCAUCAGGAACAUGAUGGAGAAUGAGGAGAGGCAGACUAUAGAGGUGGAUGUUGGUGGGGGGCCUCAAAUGCCAAGCAACAGGGCUUGGAUGCAUUCAGAGGGCACUGGGGAGCCAUCUAUGGUGGCGAGGAGAGAAGGAGCGUUCACGUGAGCUGAGCACAGGCCUCUGCAGACCCCCUUGGGCUGUGGGUGGUGGUCCCAUACCACGAAGCCCCCAGCUCCCCUGCUACACAGUUUAGAAUUGAGUGGGGUGCAGAAGCUGCAGGCUCUGUGUCCCACACUCAAGUACCAAAGAGCAAGGCCUGCCCCUUUUGACCUGUGGGUCCAAGGCUUUGUGUUUCUGGCACACGGGGAUGGUGGAGGCAGCAAGGGUAGUCCUGAGGGACUGGCAGGACCCCCUCCUUGGGCUGCACCCCAACUCUGCACACCAGGAGUGGGUCUUGCCAGGUUGGGGGACUGGCAGGACCCCCCGCCUUGGGCUGCACCCCAACUCUACGCACCAGGAGUGGGCCUUGCCAGGUUGCAGCACAGAACUGCACUUUCCGAGCUUUUAGGGGAAGAGGCGCUCGUGAAUAAUUCAGCCUCUUUCGCUGAGAUAAAAAUGCCCUAAUAGAACUAAUGGACUCGCUGCCUCAAAACUUGACUCUGGUGGGACUCAUCUCAUUCACCAAUUGCCUCUGACGUCCUGCAGUGACACUCCCUAAUGAGAAAGCUGCCGUGCCAGAUCCUUAGAGCGUCUGGUCAUCCCUAAUAAACUAGACUGUGGGCUUUGUAACAAGCAGACGCCCCCAGGAAGGCAGGUGAGUCCUCCCUUCAGCCCUAGGACUGGAUGCAGCCGCUACCUUCCUAGGGGAGGUGCCGCUUGGGGGUUUGCAUCCCCAGGAAUGAGAAUAAGAGGAGACAAUAUUUUGGGGUGCUUUUGGCUAAUCUGAAAUUAGACCCUCUGCAUUUUUUCAAAGCAGAAGACCUCAAAAAAGAACCAGCCCGAGCGGCGGCUCCCAGGCCAGGCGGCACCAUGCUGUCCAUGACAUACAGUGAGAGUCUGCGGAGCGUGAGCAGCAGGUGCCACUCUGAAUGGGCCCUGCACCCCGUCCGCCAGACUGACAUGCUGGAACUGCAGCGGCUGCGGGAGGUGCGGGCAGCAGCCCAGGCCAGGAACAUGGAGAGCUUCCUCCGCAUGCACGGCCUCUCCCUGGACGGCUGCACCGCCCAGCGCACAGGCAUGAAGUAUCGGUAAGGGUCAGGCAAGGGGGUGGGGUGGGAAGUCUGAUUUCAGCCACGUAAAAACAUAUAAAAGGGCCCGGCACAGGGGCUCACGCCUGUAAUCCCAGCACUUUGGGAGGCUGAGGCAGGUAGAUCACCUGAGAUCAGGAGUUCGAGACCAGCCUGGCCAACAUGGUGAAAC
Cebus imitator (Panamanian white-faced capuchin) is the source of this 3344-nucleotide long non-coding RNA. RefSeq lists it as uncharacterized. The record is from RefSeq and is a predicted model, not a curated record. The transcript has 2 exons. Lineage: Eukaryota; Metazoa; Chordata; Mammalia; Primates; Cebidae.